CCCUACGGGAGGCAGCAGUGAGGAAUAUUGGUCAAUGGGCGGGAGCCUGAACCAGCCAAGCCGCGUGAAGGAAGAAGGCGCCAGGCGUCGUAAACCUCUUUUGUCGGGGAGCAAAAGCCGGACGUGUCCGUCUGUGAGAGUACCCGAAGAAAAAGCAUCGGCUAACUCCGUGCCAGCAGCCGCGGUAAUACGGAGGAUGCGAGCGUUAUCCGGAUUUAUUGGGUUUAAAGGGUGCGCAGGCGGAUUUUUAAGUCAGCGGUCAAAUCGUGGGGCUCAACCCCAUCCAGCCGUUGAAACUGGGGAUC
RNAcentral lists this ribosomal RNA (305 nucleotides) under uncultured bacterium. RNAcentral's name for it is "bacterial SSU rRNA". It matches the Rfam family "Bacterial small subunit ribosomal RNA", at positions 337 to 641 of the family's 1533-position model. The record is from RNAcentral.